UUUUGAACUGCCACGAGCACAACUAAUUGCAGAAACAGAAAAAGUUCGUGAAAAAUAUAACAAUGGAAAGACAUGCUAGCAGCAAUUUAAGACAAGCGCUUUUUUAUAUGCUAAUCAAUAAACACAAUGUAAACACCUAUGUUGAGCAAAAAAAAGGAAGCAAUCCUCACAAUUAAUGCAAAUCAUGGUAUCAACAAUAGAUGUCUAGACGACAUUCUAAGAUGUAAUUUAGUUCUGCAUAUCUAAGCAUGAUGAUAUUUUAUCAAACUUGAUUUACUUUAAAGACUUCUGGACGUACAAGCUACAGAUAUGGACAGUUCUUCUCUUAAUGCACUUAUCAAGAACAUCACAAUAUUAUAGUAAUUAUUCAUUUUGCAGCUAAGAUUAGGGGUGUGCGUGGUUCUUGGGCCCUGAACCAAACCUAAAAUUGUAUCGAAUUGAAUUGAAAUCGAAAAAAACUGUUACUGUAAAUCGAAUGGACCAAAACUUAUUUACUGUUUUGGUUGGGUUCUAGUUUUUGUUCAAGAACCGAACUGAAACUAUAUAAAAUCUUAUAACCGUAUCAAAAUCACCUUGUGGUCGUAUAAUAUACUUUCUAAUCCUUGAUUAUAUAAAAAUAUGUAAGUAAGAAAUAGAUAAAAG
RNAcentral lists this unclassified non-coding RNA (642 nucleotides) under Hevea brasiliensis (rubber tree). The record is from RNAcentral. Lineage: Eukaryota; Viridiplantae; Streptophyta; Magnoliopsida; Malpighiales; Euphorbiaceae.